CAGUCGCCGCGGGAAAACGUAGGUGGCAAGCGUUGUCCGGAAUUAUUGGGCGUAAAGCGCGCGCAGGUGGUUUAAUAAGUCUGAUGUGAAAGCCCACGGCUCAACCGUGGAGGGUCAUUGGAAACUGUUAAACUUGAGUGCAGGAGAGAAAAGUGGAAUUCCUAGUGUAGCGGUGAAAUGCGUAGAGAUUAGGAGGAACACCAGUGGCGAAGGCGGCUUUUUGGCCUGUAACUGACACUGAGGCGCGAAAGCGUGGGGAGCAAACAGGAUUAGAUACCCGGGUAGUCCCUGUCUCUUAUAC
This 301-nucleotide ribosomal RNA is filed under the name uncultured bacterium. Its description in RNAcentral is "partial 16S ribosomal RNA". It matches the Rfam family "Bacterial small subunit ribosomal RNA", at positions 509 to 807 of the family's 1533-position model. The record is from RNAcentral.